This 429-nucleotide ribosomal RNA is filed under the name Chloroflexota bacterium. Its description in RNAcentral is "Chloroflexi bacterium partial 16S ribosomal RNA". It matches the Rfam family "Bacterial small subunit ribosomal RNA", at positions 355 to 776 of the family's 1533-position model. The record is from RNAcentral. Lineage: Bacteria; Bacillati; Chloroflexota.
UGGGGAAUAUUGCACAAUGGGCGCAAGCCUGAUGCAGCCAUGCCGCGUGUGUGAAGAAGGCCUUCGGGUUGUAAAGCACUUUCAGCGGGGAGGAAGGAGAUAAGGUUAAUAACCUUGUCGAUUGACGUUACCCGCAGAAGAAGCACCGGCUAACUCCGUGCCAGCAGCCGCGGUAAUACGGAGGGUGCAAGCGUUAAUCGGAAUUACUGGGCGUAAAGCGCACGCAGGCGGUCUGUCAAGUCGGAUGUGAAAUCCCCGGGCUCAACCUGGGAACUGCAUUCGAAACUGGCAGGCUAGAGUCUUGUAGAGGGGGGUAGAAUUCCAGGUGUAGCGGUGAAAUGCGUCGAGAUCUGGAGGAAUACCGGUGGCGAAGGCGGCCCCCUGGACGAAGACUGACGCUAAGGUGCAAAAGCGUGGGGAGCAAACAGG